Molecule: ribosomal RNA, 298 nt
Filed under: Spirometra erinaceieuropaei
Lineage: Eukaryota; Metazoa; Platyhelminthes; Cestoda; Diphyllobothriidea; Diphyllobothriidae
Description: partial 28S ribosomal RNA
Rfam family: Eukaryotic large subunit ribosomal RNA
Source: RNAcentral
GAUUACCCCGCGAACUUAAGCAUAUCACUAAGCGGAGGAAAAGAAACUAACCAGGAUUCCCCUAGUAACGGCGAGUGAAGAGGGAAUAGCCCAGCACCGAAGCCUGCGGUAGGUUUACUGCUAGGCAAUUUGGUGUUUGGGUCGACUCGCGGGAUUGCCACUCCACUCGAAGUCCAGCACUGAGUAUGGUUCCCUGGAUUUGGCCCAGAGAGGGUGAAAGGCCCGUGCGAGUGGAGGUUCAGACAUGUGAGGCAAUUCACCAGGUCGACCUUCGAGUCGGGGUGUUUUGAAAUGCAGC